Molecule: transfer RNA, 64 nt
Filed under: Bemisia afer
Lineage: Eukaryota; Metazoa; Arthropoda; Insecta; Hemiptera; Aleyrodidae
Description: tRNA-Gln
Source: RNAcentral
UCAAUUUAAGUUUAAAACAACAACUUUUGAAGUUAGUAAGAUUAAUUAAAUUUAAUAAAUUGAU